UUUGGAGAGAGAAAAUAUUUUCAGAACUUAAGAGAACUAAAACAGAGAAUAAGAAAAGACUGAGAGUUGAAAAGAGUAGAAAGCUGAAAGCCCCACUGUUCAUUUGAAACUUCUCUUCUUGCUUUAUUGAUUUUAUUUCUCUUGAUUCAAGUAAACUAAGACCGAUCUUAAGUAACUCUAGUAUGUCUUUGUUCAUUUGGCUUGUGUUGAUAUUGCUGUGAGUCGAAGUACAUUUCUGUGGGAUUUUUCUGGGUUGAUUUUUACUGGGUUUUGCUGAAAUCUGCUGCUGGGUUUAGCUAUUGAUGUUGCUGUUUUGCUGUAUUGAUUACUGCCUUGCUGAUUUCUCACCUUCUGCCUUUUGCUUCUAAUAUCAGGUACACAACUGGUACACCUUGUAAGUUGAUAACAUGAAGCAUGAAUACAAAUGAAGAGUUGAAGUUUUAAUUUUAUUUAGUUUUGUUAGUGAAUGUAUUUAGGCCACUUUAUAUGCAAUUUUUAUAUAAGUUUCUACCAUGUUCGUAUGACGGGAUAACUUGUAGUGAUGUAUUAAAUAAUAUUCUGCUUUAAUUUGGUCAUUAUAUAAUAUAUGUUCAAGCAUGUUUAUUACUGUCAAACUGUUUAAUAAUUGAGGAAAUAGUAUGAGUUGAUCUUUACUGAAUUGGCUUGGUCAAAUUGUUCAAUUCACUAGUUAAUCGCAAACAUGUAGCUAAAUUUUUGUAAGGUUUUAAUUUGAAUUAAUUUUGUGAAUUAGGCAUUAAGGUAUGAUUUGAGUUCAGAUAAGAUGGUUUAACAUUUCGAUUUAAUAAACUUUCAAAUAAGCAUUAAUAAUUAAGGUUGAUUUUAAUUUUAAUAGUUGUAAAUAAUUAAUGGUUUAUUUAUAUAACUAUUUGGGUUUUAAUUUAGCUAUAAUUGAUUUCUUUUGAAUAUUAGUUGUGGAAUUUCGUAUUUUAUUUAUAAUUUCAAAAUUUUUAUUUUAUUUUAUUUAUAAUUUCGAAUUUCUUUUCUUUUUUAGUAAAAUUCUUUUCCAUUAAUAUUUGCCUUAAUUUAUCAAUUAGUGUGUUACGUUUUUUUAUUUUUAUGCGUGUAGUUAAUUAGAAUUUUUUUCUUCUAAUUUAGAGACGAACUUAAUAGAAAAAAUGUAGUCACCUUAUGAUUGCCCUUUUAAAAUAAAUGAGGCGAGAUUCUCCGAAUAAAUAAAUUGCGGGGCCCUCAUUAAAUAUUUAAAAAUAUCUAAAAAAAUUGGGAAGGGUCGUUUAGCGAAUCUCACGACCCGCCAAAAAGAUUAGAACUCGCUAGACUCUCUUUAGGACGCGCCUUAAUUAAUCUUACCUCCCUAAACUCGGGUGUGCAUUUAUGCGACCCAAAUCCAAAUCUUGAUAGAGUCGAAAUGUGUCGACAACCACGGAUACACUAGCUGUGACGUGGUCCGAGAUAUCUUUUCACAAUGUUGCUAUUCUGUGUAAAUAAUAACAAUAACAAUUAAAUAAAACCAGAAAAAAGUAAAAUUGGCAUGCAUGCUCAUCAUGUAAUAAAAUCGGAUAAAUAAGUUAAAUAUGACAGUUGAGCGACCGUACUAGAACCACGAAGCCCGGGAAUGCCCAACACCUUCUCUCGGGUUAACAGAAUUUCUUAUCCGGAUUUCUGGUUCGCGGACUGUUAGACAGAGUCAAUCUUUUCCUUAUUUCGGGAUUCAACCGGUGACUUGGGACACCAUAAAUCUCCCAAGUGGCAGCUCAGAUUCUUUAAUAAAUAAUCCCGUUUCAAUUGUCUUUUGAUUGGAAAAACUCCAUUGCGCCCUCGCGGUGCGGAAAAAGGAGGUGUGACAGCUCUGACGACUCUGCUGGGAUUGGACCCAGAACCACUAGUUCAGGGUUAGAAAUUCGAGCUUAUGAUAAACUGUUAUAAUUUUGCUUUGUUAUCUGAUAUUUUCAUGUGAUAUGUGCUUAAUGUGCGAAAUGAUGUUUUUUAACUGCUUUGAUAUUAUUUGAUUGUAUAUAUAAACUGUGUCGAACCCUUCUUUCUUCACCUCCGAGGAUGUGCUUACUAGGUGAGACUCCCUAUUCUGUUAGUGUCAUAUCCUGAAAUAAAAGAGGCUCGGAAAGUUUCUAAACCGGCUGGCCUUUUGGUUCCCGGAAUGUAGCUCCUUCCUCGACUCGGGUUGUCCGCUCGGGUACACUGUCUAGAACAUAUACCCAGGAUUUGAACAUAGUAAAACGUGACUUCAUGCCAGAUCCCUAAUAGGAAUGCUUAUUUGCAUCAUCUUGCAUUUGACUUAGGGACUCAACACACGGGUUGCGUCCGUCUAGGUUAAGCAACCUGAAGUAAAAAGACAAUCCUGCUGCGUCCUGUUUGUUUUCUGCAUUUAUUUGCUUCAGACUGGCAUGCUGACCGGCUUUGAAUACUGGAAAAUUGUGAAAAGAAAAAUAAAAAAAACUAGCAGUGUAGAGUGUUAAUUACAUAUUUUUUAGAAAAUCAAUUUCCAAAUAGUGGCGGAACUCUACCAAAAUUUUUGAAAAAAAAGGAGUUGUUUUUAGUUUGAUUUAUUUGGAAAAAAAAAGAGAGUCCUUAUUGUUGGAUUUUCUUGUUUUCAAAGAGUCUUUAUUUUUAGCUUGAAAAAAUAGGUUGAUUUAUUAUUUGUUGAAAAGAAAAAGAGUAUUUGUUUUAAGUUUGGGAAAAAUAGGUUGUUUUUGUUUUGUUGAAAAUGAAAAGAAAUAAAAGAGUUAUUAUUUUGGCUUGUUUUCAAAAAAAAUAAAAAAGAAAAAAUAGUUUGCUUUGCCAUGAAAAAUGAAAAUGAAAAGAGUCGUGCUUUGAAAGUGAUUUUGUUAUUUGCUGCCAAAAAAUAAAAAUAAAAAGAGUCCUGUUUUAAAAUAGUACAGUUAAUUGGGCGAACUACACCGGUUUGAUUCUCACAGGGUGUGGGAUAAGUAGGCAACCAUCAUCGGGUCCAACCUCUCUUUCUGCAAAAAUCGCCAAAAGAGUGCCAAAAAAUUUAAUUUUUAGACAUAAUUAAGUUGGGUGAUACCGCUUUUGUCAAAUAUAGCCGAAUGUUCCCGAAAGGGAGGCCGGAAGGCUGACUUUGCAUAAACGGCCAUCUCUGGCCAUUAUUUUUUGGAUUUUCGGUCAAUUGACCCACACGGUCUUAGAAUCUUCGUCCCCGAGGCACUGAAAGGCUGUGUUUGCAAAUAUCUGGUUUUCUAUUUUUCAAAAAACAAGAAAAGAGUCGUAAAUAAGUUGGGCGAUGCUGUUUUGUCAAAUAUACCCGAAUGUUUCCGAAAGGGACGCCUGAAGGCUGACCUCGUAUAAACAGCCACCUUUGGGUCAUUUUUAGAUUAUGACCGAUCGACCCACACAUCCUUAAAAUCUUCAUCCCCGAGGCGAUGAAAGGCCGUGUUUGCAAAACCAUUUCUUUUAUAUUAAUUUGAAAAAAAAGAAGAAAAGAGUUAGGGGGGCAAGUGAAUACCAUUUGGAUUUUGGUCAAAAUAAGCCGAGCCAGUUUCGGUAGUGUGUUAAACCGUUCUUGCCAAUAUAGCCUUAGAGUAUCUUUCAAUUGUCGAAAGGCUAUUUUCGUAAGAGAACGGACAAGUUUGUAAAACAAUCCUUCCCGGCCUCAAAAUUCAUGUGUAAUUGAGAAGGGGCUACGUUUGCAAAAAAAUAGUGAUUUGGUUCAAAUUGGCAUAUAGGGGAAGGAAUUUGUCAGUCUGUUUUUUUUAUUUGUAUUUCUUUUGAUUAGGGUAUGCGGGUUGUUUUAUUUUCGAGUCUAUAUGUUGUCUGUUCGUCAGAUUUUGUUAGUUUGAUCAGUUUUUAAACCAUUGUAUUUGAAGUUGGUUUUAUUAUGAAUAUUGAAAAUUCCAAAAAAAUAUUUUGCUGUUAUUCACCUUUUAUUGGUCCGAACUACGCAAUGUCUGAUUCAUGCGGGGUCAUGAUACGUACGCAAUCUCUAUAAGAUUCGACCACACACAUAAAAAAAUGAAAUAAAAAAAAGGAAAAAUAUGUUAUUAAUAAUAAGGACUGACUCACUCCAUUCUAACAUGUUUUGCUUUGAAUUGUGAAUAAAGAAGGGUGGUUGGUUUGUGGUUUUCAAAGUGGUAACUCCUCCCUGCAACGCAAAUGCAAAAGACAAUGGCAUAGAACAACAACUGGUUGAUCUUGAGAACGGGUCGGCAAAAGGAACCCCAAAGCAAUUUGUUAAGAAUGAUAUGAUGAAGACUUGUGAAGUUCCUAAAAUUGUUGAUGCAGAAUUCAGGGGCUAAGACGCUGUGCUUGGUUAUGGGAAAAACACUUCGCCUCUUGGUUAAACGGAGAGGAGCUUGAUGGCUUAGUUUGUUAUCAUUUCUGUUGUUCGGGUUAUUUCAGGGUUAUAAUUCGGAUAUUGUCUUGUAUCAAACCCUCUUAUCCUUCCAUUUUUGCCAUACUGGUUUAUUUAGUUUUGUCCAGGUUUGUUUCAGGGUGUAGUCUAGUUUGUCUUGCUUACUUUGUUAUUCGAACCGUUCCAC
Molecule: long non-coding RNA, 4493 nt
Filed under: Nicotiana benthamiana
Lineage: Eukaryota; Viridiplantae; Streptophyta; Magnoliopsida; Solanales; Solanaceae
Description: long non-coding RNA (NBEN_LNC007765)
Source: RNAcentral